AUAUUGGACGCCAGCUACUUACAUAUGGUCGGAGAAUUCCGUUUGCUGAAUUGUUCGCUAGAAUUGAUGCUGUUGAUGCAAGUAGUAUUAAACGCGUAGCAAACAGAUUUAUUCAUGACAAGGAUAUUGCAAUUGCUGCCACGGGUCCUAUCCAGGGGUUGCCUGACUACAACUGGUUCAGACGCAGGACCUACUUGAACCGCUACUAGACUCUCAGGCUUUUGUUU
Molecule: unclassified non-coding RNA, 227 nt
Filed under: Hevea brasiliensis (rubber tree)
Lineage: Eukaryota; Viridiplantae; Streptophyta; Magnoliopsida; Malpighiales; Euphorbiaceae
Source: RNAcentral